CUAAACUGCACAUUGGGAGACAAUUACAGAGGACUUUACAAACGUAAUGACAUGGACCCGUGGACAAGGAUGCUAUCACGACUAAUCAUCUCGAAGUCUCCCUACAUCUCUGCGG
Molecule: long non-coding RNA, 115 nt
Filed under: Callithrix jacchus (white-tufted-ear marmoset)
Lineage: Eukaryota; Metazoa; Chordata; Mammalia; Primates; Cebidae
Description: lncRNA (ENSCJAG00000061439.2)
Source: RNAcentral